RNAcentral lists this ribosomal RNA (468 nucleotides) under uncultured bacterium. RNAcentral describes it as "partial 16S ribosomal RNA". It matches the Rfam family "Bacterial small subunit ribosomal RNA", at positions 28 to 507 of the family's 1533-position model. The record is from RNAcentral.
GAUGAACGCUGGCGGCGUGCUUAACACAUGCAAGUCGAACGGAAAGGCCCUGAUUUUGCUGGGUGCACGUGAGGCGAACGGGUGUGAGAAACACGUGUAUCACGUCCUUGUAUUACGGAUAACACUAGGAAAAAGGGGCUCAUACCCGAUAGGAGAUAUUGAAGCACGGUGGGGGUUGGUAAGAUUCGGCGGUUGGGGAUGGAAUCGCGGCUUCUCAGCUUGUUGGUGGGGUUGUGGAUUACAAAGGCUUUGACGGGUAGCCGGCCUGGGAGGGUGACCGGCCACAUUGGGACUGAGGUACGGCCCAGACUCCUACGGGCGGCAGCAGUGGGGAAUUUUGCACAAUGGGCGGAAGCCUGAUGCAGCAGCGCCGCGUGCGUGAUGACGGCCUUCGGGUUGUAAACCGCUUUCGCCUGUGACGAAGCGUUAGUGACGGUAAUGGGUAAAGAAGCACCGGCUAACUACGUG